RNA transcript from Otolemur garnettii (small-eared galago), 548 nucleotides. It is a transcript of the gene named ubiquitin-conjugating enzyme E2 L3 pseudogene, with no coding region annotated. NCBI's taxonomy places the organism in Eukaryota, Metazoa, Chordata, Mammalia, Primates, Galagidae. The transcript has a single exon. The record is from RefSeq and is a predicted model, not a curated record.
ACCAGAUCCAAGAUGGCGGCCAGCAGGAGGCCGAUGAAGGAGCUUGAAGAAAUCCGCAAAUGUGGAAAGAAAAACUUCCGUAACCUCCAGGUUGAUGAAGCUAAUUUAUUGACUUGGCAAGGGCUUAUUGUUCCUGACAACCCUCCAUACGAUAAGGGGGCCUUCAGAAUCGAAAUCAACUUUCCAGCAGAGUACCCAUUCAAGCCACCGAAGAUCACAUUUAAAACAAAGAUCUAUCACCCGAACAUCGAUGAAAAGGGACAGGUUUGUCUGCCAGUAAUUAGUGCUGAAAACUGGAAGCCAGCAACCAAAACCGACCAAGUAAUCCAGUCCCUCAUAGCACUGGUGAACGACCCCCCAGCCUGAGCACCCGCUAAGGGCUGACCUAGCUGAAGAAUACUCUAAGGACCGUAAAAAAUUCUGUAAGAAUGCUGAAGAGUUUACAAAGAAAUACGGGGAAAAGUGACCUGUGGACUAAAAUCUGCCACGAUUGAUUCCAGCAAGUGUGAGUAGAGACCCCGAGCAGUGCAUUCAGACACCCCGCAAAG